Molecule: transfer RNA, 69 nt
Filed under: Signoretia aureola
Lineage: Eukaryota; Metazoa; Arthropoda; Insecta; Hemiptera; Cicadellidae
Description: tRNA-Ser
Source: RNAcentral
AAGAAGAUCAGUUUUGAGAAAUUAGCUGCUAACUAGUAUUCUAAGCGGUUAGACUCCGUUUUCUUCUUU